GAGAGACGCGUGGCGGCGUGGAUUAGGCAUGCAAGUCGAACGGUAUCAUUCCGUUUCGGGGGUGAGAGAGUGGCGAACUGGUGAGUAACACGUAGGUUAUCUACCCUCAAGACGGGACAACCCAGGGAAACUUGGGCUAAUACCGGAUGUGAGCAACUUUUAGUUGUUUGAAAGGUGGCGUAAGCUGUCGCUUGGGGAUGAGCCUGCGUCCUACUAGUUAGUUGGUGAGGUAACGGCUCACCUAGGCAAUGAUAGGUAGGCGGCCUUAACGGGUGGUCGCCCACACUGGGAUUGAGAUACGGCCCAGACUCCUACGGGAGGCAGCAGUCGAGAAUAGUCUACAAUGGUCGGAAGACUGAUAGUGCGACGCCGCGUGAACGAUGAAUCCCUUCGGGGUGUAAAGUUCUUUUAUAUGUGAGCAGUGCUUCUUAUAUUAACAGUAUGGGGAGAGAGAUAUUAGCAUAUGAAUAAGCAACGGCUAACUCCGUG
RNAcentral lists this ribosomal RNA (489 nucleotides) under uncultured bacterium. RNAcentral's name for it is "bacterial SSU rRNA". It matches the Rfam family "Bacterial small subunit ribosomal RNA", at positions 37 to 507 of the family's 1533-position model. The record is from RNAcentral.